This 1194-nucleotide long non-coding RNA is filed under the name Sorghum bicolor (sorghum). RNAcentral describes it as "long non-coding RNA (SBIC_LNC008914)". The record is from RNAcentral. Lineage: Eukaryota; Viridiplantae; Streptophyta; Magnoliopsida; Poales; Poaceae.
CUUAAGGUCCCUACAGCCGCCGCCACACAGUUGGGUUUUGAUUAGAUCAAGUUUAGCCUUCGCUACUUGCUUGUAAAUGCGCGUGCUGAUCCAGCUACCCGUCUUCUUGUUUUUGGAACCCCACUUCAUUAGAGAUUGAGUUUGAAACCUUUGUUUACAUCUAGUAAUUCAGUACUUGUUCUACUGGUUCUUGCUGGUUCUUUGAUUGCUUGCAGGAUGAGUGCCUUAGUGGCUGGUUGUCGCGCUCCAUAAGAUCGUGACAGCCAUUGGAGGUGGUGUAUCGGUUGCUAAAGCGUGGCCUUGGAGGGCUGUAGUCGGACCGUGAACGUCAACUCCUUUCACCAAUCGAGUUACCCAGCACCUGUCAUCGAAAGAUUGGGCGGAAACCCUAGCGGGUUCUUAUCAGCUGGUAAUCAGAGCAAGGUUUAUCGGUGAGAGACUUUCAAUUCUUUACUGUUUUACUUUUCCCAUAGUUCCAAUAAAAAGCCUAAAACAGUAGUAGAUUAGGUUUUCCAUAGUCCUAUAAACACUUUGAGCCUUGGCUAGUACUACUUAGUUAGGGCUUGUUGUGUUUGAUUUACUUCGGUUGAGUCAAGUUGCUGGUCUUAGGGUUAGGCUUUUAGAGUUUCGAGUUCUUGUCACGUUUUGGUCCCAUCCAUCAUUUUCAUCUCGCAGUCAUCACCACCACCAUAUAUUACAUAUCCACUACACCAUAUUUAUCUCAAUUGUAAUCUUUACUGCCAUAUUUUUUCUUUGUUACACCAUAUCCACCAUUACUCCUUGAAAAGAAACAAAAAUACUUUGUAAGUUGUUUCUAUUUGAAAUCUGAUUUGUCAAGAUUCAGAUUUGUCCUAGUUUUGCAAAGUAAAGGAAAAGAAGAAGAAAGAGUAGAAAGAAGAGAAAAGAAAAGAAGAGAACAAAAAGAAAAAGAAAAGGAAAAGAAAGAAAAUAAGAGAAAACAAAAAGAAAAGGGGAGUAAUAGGUUGCUGUUGCUAUUCUUGUGCUAUUUCCAACUAUACAGUGACUCCGUUUGUGUCUAGGCUCGCGUCUCUAGCACGGUCUAGCCUAGGACCAGCACGGUACUACCAUCGAAUGAUUUCUCAACUUUUUUUUGUAAUUAACGUGGUGCUAGUUGUUCCUUGUUUUUAGCCCAGCUAUAGCUCCACAUAUUCUAUAGCUUGACAGGUCUUAUUG